UGCCUACGGGGCGCAGCAGUAGGGAAUUUUCGUCAAUGGGCGCAAGCCUGAACGAGCAAUGCCGCGUGAACGAGGAAGGUCUUCGGAUCGUAAAGUUCUGUUGAAGGGGAAAAAGAGCGGAGAGAGGAAAUGGUCUCCGAUUGAUAUUACCCUUCGAGGAAGUCACGGCUAACUACGUGCCAGCAGCCGCGGUAAUACGUAGGUGGCAAGCGUUGUCCGGAUUUACUGGGUGUAAAGGGCGUGUAGCCGGGCUUACAAGUCAGAUGUGAAAUCCGGGGGCUCAACCCCCGAACUGCAUUUGAAAC
Molecule: ribosomal RNA, 305 nt
Filed under: uncultured bacterium
Lineage: Bacteria
Description: bacterial SSU rRNA
Rfam family: Bacterial small subunit ribosomal RNA
Source: RNAcentral